GUGGGUGCCUGUAAUUCAAGCUGCUCAGGAGGCUGAGGCAGGAGAAUCGCUUGAACCCAGGAGGCAGAGGUUGCAGUGAGCCGAGAUCACACCAUUGCACUCCAGCCUGGGUGACAAGAGCAAAACUCCAUCUCAAAAAAAAAAAAAAAAAAAGAAAAAGAAAAGAAUGAAAGAAAAGAAAAAGUAAAAUUUGGUGUAAAAUCAGGUUAGCAACUUGGGAUCUUUAUCUUUAAUGCAGUCACUUACAGCUAUAAUUUUUCCUUCUGAGCACUUUUUUCACUGCAUUCCAUAAGUUUGGGUAUGCUGUAUAUUCAUUUGUCUCCAAGUAUUUUCUAAUAUCCCUAAUAUCUAAAUAAGUGAUUUCUUUUUGACCCAUUGGUUAAGAAUGAGUUUUUAAAUUUCUAUAGAUUCAUGAAUUUUCUGUGGUUUUUUUUGGGGGGGGUUGUUUGUUUGUUUGUUUGUUUUGAGACAGGGUCUCACUCUGUCACCCAGGCUGGAGUGCAGCAGUGUGAUCUCAACUCACUGCAACCUCCACCUCCUAGGCUCAACUGAUGCUCAUGCCUCAGCCUUCCAACUGGCUGGGAUUACAGGGUUGGGCCACCAUGUCUGGCUAAUUUUUGUAUUUUUAGUAGAGAUGGGGUUUCACCAUGUUGACCAGGCUGAUCUUGAACUCCUGACCUCAAGUGAUCUGCCCAGCUCGGUCUCCCAAAGUGCUAGGAUUACAGGCACGAGCCACCAUGCCCAGCCCUGGUUUUCUUUUAUUGAUUUCUAACUUCAUCCUGUUUUGUUCAGAGCAAAUACUUUGUAUGAUAUCUAUUUGUUAAAAUCUAUUAAGACUUGUUUUGUGGCUUAAUACAUGGUCUAUCUCAGAGAAUGUGCCAUGUGCACCUGAGAAAAAUAUGUAUUUUACUGUUAGGAAGAGUCACGUAUAUAUGCCUGUUAGGACUAGUAAAUUAAUUUUUGUAUAUGGUAUGAGGUAGGAGUUCAAAUUCAUUCUUUUGCAUGUGGAUAUCCAUUGUCAUGGCACCAUUUGUUGAGGAGACUGUUUUUCCCAUGGAAUGCUCUUGGUACCCUUGUCAAAAAUUAAUUAGUCAUAGGUGUAUGGGUUUAUUUCUGGACUCUCUAUUCUAUUCCAUUGAUCUAUAUAUCUAUCCUUAUGCCAGUGUCACUUCAGUAAAGUUUUCUAGUUUUCUUAAAAAAAAAAAAACAAAAAACAGCAGAUUCAACCCACUUUCUUCUGGCCUUUAAGUCCAAUAUUAUAAUUAGAAUAAACUGCUCCCAAAAGGAUGUGAAUAACACACCCUACAACCUGGACUGAGGUUUUUUCAUUAUUACACUCAUGACUUCUGCUCCAAUAUGUGUUUGAACACUGUUUGAGUGAGAGGCGGUGUUUCUUAACAUUCUCUUCUUCUGCAUAUCCAGAACAAAUAAUACAAAGGGAAUCUAGAAACUACCUAACCCCAUAGCCAGAUCAUUCUGACAAUGCUAUAGAAAAAUUAGGUAGGAUAUGCCAUAUUAUAAAGUAGGGCCAUGAGUUCAAAAAACAAAUAACACAUGGACUAGCUAGGGAAGCCACAAUAGGUAACAGCAUGCGUUUUAAAGGCUUAGCCAAUGCUAAGCUCCCUGUGAGUCAGGAAUGUCAUGAGGCUUCCAUAAUAAUAAACUUCAUUUGUAGCAGCAUUAAAAGAAAUAGAGUGCCCAGAGUGAGGAGGCAAUGGUCAUACCUGACUUUGCCCUGCUCAGGGUGUCUGAAUUGCCCAUGAGCUUCACACUUUUUGAUGGGCAUUGAUUAACUGGACUAUGUCAUAGAAGACAAACGGAAUGGCGCAGUGGCUGCAACCUGUGUCCCAGGAGGAGGAAUUAGGUGAAUUAGGCUUGUGUAGCCUGAAGAAAGCCAGUCUGGGGUACAUUUCCGUUUCUUGAAGUGUCUAAGGAGUUUCCAGAGUGGAGAAGGCAGGAGAGGGAGCAUAGAUAGGAUCAAUGCUAUGUAGCAUCAGAUUUCAGCUAAUAAAAGGAAGAAGUUUCAGAUAAUUGGAGGCAGCCAAGGGUGAAGCUAGCUGCCUCAGGCAGUAACAAGCUCUUCAUUCUGGAGGGGUGUCCAAACAAAGUUGAAAAAGCAGUCAGUGGGGAUGUUGUAAGGGAAUUCAUUCGCUGGGUAGGGGUUGGGUCCAAAUGACUUUUUUUUUUUUUUUUUUUUUUUUUUUUUUGCAAGGGUCUUGCUCUGUCCCCCAGGCUGGAGUGUGAUUCUCCUGUCCCAGUCUCCCAAGUAGCUGGGAUUACAGGCACGCACUGCCACACCCAGCUAAUCUUUGUAUUUUUAGUAGAGACAGGGUUUCACCAUUUGGCCAGGCUGGUCGCGAACUCCUGACCUCAAGUGAUCCACCCACCUCAGCCUCCCAAAGUGCUGGGAUUACAGGCGUGAGCCACCAUGCUCAGCCCCCAAAUGACUUUUGAAGACUCUUACAGCCCUAAGUCUCUAGGAUAUCAGGCAUCCACUGAAGACUCACCCACAUACCCAUUUCUUAAUUCUACACCCAUCCUCUAACAGGCAUUCAAGUGGCACUCCAAAGGAACAAGGCAUUGCAGGCUUUCUACAGCACUAUCAAUCAGGGUUCUUUGGUUGCAAGUAAAAAAAAAAAAAAUACAACUCUGAAUAAUUAAACAGUAACAGGAACAUAUUAGAAGGCAUGAGACAGUUCACAAAACUCAAGAGAAAGCUGAAAAAUCAGGCCUUAAAGAGGACACAAUUCAAAACAGUAGCUAAUACGUAGGCUCCAGGAACUAAUAAAUGAGUUGUGAGUCCACUGUCAAGGUGAAGUUGUCACUCACUGAGCCACUGAGCUCACAAUUCAGCUUCCAGGGACACCGUGGGGAGUAUGUGAUAUCUCCAAUAUCACAUACUUCCGUUGACUAGUAGGGGACGAAGCACAUUGACCAACAGACAGUUCAAUCAUGACCAAAUCCAAUAAAGAAGUCUUCCAGAAAGCAAUUGCAAAUCAGGAAGAUGUUAUCAGAAGAAAGGGAUCCUGGGCUGGCACCAUAAAGGAUUUGUGCCUUGCUUUUUUCAGGUUAAGACAGCAGGGACUUGCCACGGAGACUCUAAAGUCUGUUCCUCCAACCUUUCCCAUUGCAGUGAGAGCAAUAAUUUCCCUGACCCUAUAAAAGGCAUGCAAAGUGUAUCCAGGUCAAGAGCUUGGGUAACAUCAACACUGUGAAAUGUGGGGACAGAUAUCUUGGUGGAAAAAGCACUGAGACUUCUGUUUCCAUCAGCAAAGAAGACUAAACACCAAGGGAAACAACUAAACUAUCUGAAUAAAAUAUCCCUUAAAAUGCAUUGCUUAGUAGGCAAUUUUUUAAAAUUUUUUAAAAUCCACAGAGGCCCAAAAUGAAAUGAAAUCAGGAAUUCUUAGAAAUGAGCAAGCCGUAAUUGCCCUGAGGGUAGCUGCCAAUCCCGAAGGCUCAGCACUGUUUUGUAGGCUUUUUGAGGUACAAGAGACAAGAAAUACGCAUCGAGGGCCUGUUCAAGGUGGAGACCACACAAGAAGACUAUACAAAACUUGGGAUUUCCAAAGGUCUACAUAGUCAGAGUAGGGGUGAAUGAAUAUAAGCAUAUUUUCUUUUUGCCUUGUAUAUCCCAGACUUGGAGCUGAAAAUGACCCAAAAAUGCCACAGGGGACAAAACAAAUUGCCCCCAAAAGCCUCCUCUAGCCAAAUAAGCAGAACAGGGGAAGCCUAGCAAGAUGGAAAACUUUUAGACAAUAAACUGCUCCCCUCUAGCCAAACACCACAGAAAACUGUGACCCCACGUGUAACCACACCAAAAAGGUCAAGUAAGGAGCCUAGGUGCAACUUCAUGCCACUGUGAUAGGCUCAGUGAUGGUCCUCAAAGAUAUCCAGGCCCUCUGAGACUAUAAAAAUUCUAGAAGAUAACAUUGGAAAAACCCUUCUAGACAUUGGCUUAGGGAAGGAUUUCAUGACCAAGAAUCCAAAAGCAAAUGCAAUAAAAACAAAGAUAAAUAGGUGAGACUUAAUUAAACUAAAGAGCUUUUGCACAGCAAUAGGAACAGUCAGCAGAGUAAACAGACAACCCACAGAGUGGGAGAAAUCUUCACAAUCUGUACAUCUGACAAAGGACUAGUAUCCAAAACAUACAACAAAUUCAAACAAAUUAGCAAGAAAAAAACAAACAGUCUCAUCAAAAAGUGGGCUAAGGACAUGAAUAGAUAAUUCUCAAAAGAAGAUUACAAAUGGCCAACAAACAUAUAAAAAUUCUCAACAUUACUAAUGAUCGGGGAAAUGCAAAUCAAAACCGCAAUGCAAUACCACCUUACUCCCACAAGAAUGACCACACUCAAAAAAUAAUAGAUGUUGGCGUGGAUAGAGUGAAAAGGGAAAAUAUACUUCAACACUGCUGGUGGGAAUGUAAACUAGAACGAUCACUAUGGAAAACAGUGUGGAGAUUCCUUACAGAACUAAAAGGAACUACUCACUCUGUCCUCCAGGGUGAAGGCAAUCAUAGCUCACUGCAGCCUUGAACUCCUAGGCUCAGGAGAUCCUCUCCCCUCCAUCUCAUGAGUAGCUGGGACUACAAGCACCUGCCACCACAUCCAGAUUUUUUUUUUUUUUUUUUUUUUUGGAGAGAUGAGGUCUCACUGUGUUGCCCUAAUUUUCUUUUUGUUUUUGUAGAGACAGGGUCUUUCUAUGUUGCCCAGCCUGGUCUUCAACUCCUGGACUCAAGUGAUCCUUGACUCAAGUGAUCCUCUUGCCUCAGACUCAGGAGUGACUGGGAUUACAGGUGUGAGCUAGUACACUGGGCUGACAGUUCCUUCUAAAGCAAAACAUGCAACGACCAUACAAUUCAUUAGUUGCACACCUGAGAAUUUAUUCCAGAGAAAUGAAGACUUAUGUUCACACUAAAACUUGUACAUAAAUGUUUAUAGAAGCUUUAUUUACAUAGUAGCAACAAAUAAUACUGGGAAUAAACAGAUGUCCUUCAACAGGUUAAAUAUGGCACAUCAGUGGUUAAACUGUGGUACAUCCAUAUCAUGAACUACUACUCAGCAAUUAAAAGGAAUGAAUUGUUGAUAUAUACAACACUUAUCUGUAAUCUUCAGGGAAUUAUGCUGAGUGGAAAAAGCCUAUUUCAAUAUAUAACAUUUAUAUAUCAUUGGUGAAAUGAAAAAAUUAUAGAAAUGGAGAACAACUUAGUGAUUGCCCAGAGUUAAGGAGUGGGUGUGGGUGGGAGGGAAGUGGCUGUGAACAUAAAAAGGCAAUAUGAGUGGCGCUGGACAUGUUCCGAUAUUGAUCUAUGUAAGUAUAUCCUGGUUGUGAUACUAUACUAUUGUUUUACAAGAUGCUACCCUUGGGUGAAACUAGGUAAAGGAUACAUAGGAUCUCCAUGUAUUAUUUCUUACAAUGCAUGUGAAUCUCUGAGCAUAAAAAAGAAAAUCACUGAUGAAUACAUGCCUUCUGAUCCCAUUCAUUAAAAAUGCAAAAUGGAUAAAACUAAAUCAUAUCUUUCUUGUUUAGGGAUUCAUACCUCUAGGAGUGAUGUUAGAAAUACUUUCAACUAGUCUGAAAGAUUCGUCAUCCAACACCCCCUAACAGCAAUUAGGUUUACUUCUCUUUGAGGGGGGAAUAAUCCAGGAGUUAUUAAGAAAUUAUUUGGCCGGGCGCGGUGGCUCAUGCCUGUAAUCCCAGCACUUUGGGAGGCCGAGACGG
This 5721-nucleotide long non-coding RNA is filed under the name Homo sapiens (human). Its description in RNAcentral is "HSALNT0152824". Lineage: Eukaryota; Metazoa; Chordata; Mammalia; Primates; Hominidae. The record is from RNAcentral.